CCUACGGGUGGCAGCAGUGAGGAAUAUUGGUCAAUGGACGAGAGUCUGAACCAGCCAAGUAGCGUGAAGGAUGACUGCCCUAUGGGUUGUAAACUUCUUUUAUAUGGGAAUAAAACGUUCCACGUGUGGGAUUUUGUAUGUACCAUAUGAAUAAGGAUCGGCUAACUCCGUGCCAGCAGCCGCGGUAAUACGGAGGAUCCGAGCGUUAUCCGGAUUUAUUGGGUUUAAAGGGAGCGUAGGUGGAUUGUUAAGUCAGUUGUGAAAGUUUGCGGCUCAACCGUAAAAUUGCAGUUGAAACUGGCAGUCUUGAGUACAGUAGAGGUGGGCGGAAUUCGUGGUGUAGCGGUGAAAUGCUUAGAUAUCACGAAGAACUCCGAUUGCGAAGGCAGUUCACUGGACUGCAACUGACACUGAGGCUCGAAAGUGUGGGUAUCAAACAGGAUUAGAACACCUGUAGUC
Molecule: ribosomal RNA, 459 nt
Filed under: uncultured bacterium
Lineage: Bacteria
Description: partial 16S ribosomal RNA
Rfam family: Bacterial small subunit ribosomal RNA
Source: RNAcentral